UGGUAGUGUAUUGGACAACCAUGGCUUUCACGGGUAACGGAGGAUUAGGGUUCGAUUCCGGAGAGGGAGCCUGAGAAACGGCUACCACAUCUAAGGAAGGCAGCAGGCGCGUAAAUUACCCAAUCCUGACUCAGGGAGGUAGUGACAAGAAAUAACGGACCGAGGCUUUCGGGCUUCGGGAUUGCAAUGAGCCGAAUUUACACCCCUUAGCGAGGAUCGAUUGGAGGGCAAGUCUGGUGCCAGCAGCCGCGGUAAUUCCAGCUCCAAUAGCGUAUAUUAAAGUUGUUGCAGUUAAAAAGCUCGUAGUUGGAUUUCUGGGAGGGUGCCAAUGUCCGCCGACGUGCGUGCGCAGCGGCGCCCUUCCAUCCUUCUGUUAACGCCUCUUGGCAUUCAUUUGCUGGUGGCGGGCUCAGAUAUUUUACCUUGAGAAAAUUAGAGUGUUUCAGGCAGGCUAGGCCGGAAUACAUUAGCAUGGAAUAAUUGAAUAGGACUACGGUCUCUUUGUUGGUUUGAGGGACUGCAGUAAUGAUUAAUAGGGAUAGUUGGGGGCAUUAGUAUUUAAUUGUCAGAGGUGGAAUUCUCGGAUUUGUUAAAGACUAACUUAUGCGAAAGCAUUUGCCAAGGA
This 625-nucleotide ribosomal RNA is filed under the name uncultured marine ciliate. Its description in RNAcentral is "SSU rRNA". It matches the Rfam family "Eukaryotic small subunit ribosomal RNA", at positions 326 to 964 of the family's 1831-position model. The record is from RNAcentral. Lineage: Eukaryota; Ciliophora.